Molecule: long non-coding RNA, 1170 nt
Filed under: Felis catus (domestic cat)
Lineage: Eukaryota; Metazoa; Chordata; Mammalia; Carnivora; Felidae
Description: lncRNA (ENSFCAG00000052864.1)
Source: RNAcentral
CUAUGUUGGCAAGCUGUGUCCUCGGCUCAGGGACAGGUCUGAGUCAUGGAGGCCCUGCUACUUCCUGGUCCUGUUCCUGGGCUCAUCUUCACGGGCCCACAGUUCCAGCCCCACUACCAUCACCAAAGUCCAGAUCAUGUUGGGCAUCUCUUGGACUCAAUCCCCAGUAAGAAGCAGCAUCUCCACUGCCUGGACUGAGGUCUUCAGUGGCUACACCUUUACCACCACACUUCCUGAACUGAGCCACUGUGUUGGUUGGUCUCAAGGAGGGACCUUUUCCUGAGCUGCGCCUCUGUCCCAACUACACCUACCAGUGACUUGUGGUGAUCUUCUCCCCAGGUUCUGAUGCCAGACCCCGAAACACACGAUGGAUGAUGAUAUAAGAACUGCUUGCUGGGAAGGGGAACACCAAAAGGUUUAGUGAAUCAUAGUGAGAAGGGGUAGGGUAGGGUCUGGGUUCCUUACAGUUACUGUCCUCUCACUUGGGCCUCAAACCACGCACAAAGUAGACCGUUGUAAACCCAUUCUACAGAUGUGGGCUUAGAAGCCCAUAGGGGAAGAGAUUAGCCUAGGGUCACCCAGAAGCAAAAUAACAGCACGGGGGUUCAAACUAUGCUCUUUCCAGAAAAAGAUAAAGAGGAAAACCCACAGAGCUCAGCAGACACCUGACUCCGGGGCCAGACUGUGCCACCAGCACUAUAAUAGCUGUAUAAAAAAAAAGUUUUCUUUUCUUUUUUUUAAAUGUGGGUAGAGGAAUAUAUAAUGAAUGCUGUUGGUUAAAAAAAAAAGGGGCAGAUAAAGCUGGUAUGCUGUGAAAAGUCAGCAGCUGUAAUAUUUUAUGAUUCAAUGCAAAAAAUAUGUUGAGUUCCUCAGCUGCAUAAGUGGUAUAAACAAAUAAUUUUUUCUUUCUUUCCUUUUUUUUUUUUAAAGAUACAAGGAGGGUAUUGCCAUUAUCUGAGGACCUCUUUGCUGUCCUCAGACAAUGUUCAUCUGAAGGUAGAAAAUGCCCUGAACAGCACUCAACCCUGAACUUUUCUAGAACGUAGGCAGAAAGUUUGAGCAUGUGUAGACACGGAAGCUAAACAAGGCAAAUGCAGAAGUUGCCUCUGGUGAUAGUCCACAGAUCAACGAUACACGGUACAUGAAAUCCCCAUCCCAUCCCCCCUCUCU